RNAcentral lists this ribosomal RNA (253 nucleotides) under uncultured bacterium. RNAcentral's name for it is "partial 16S ribosomal RNA". It matches the Rfam family "Bacterial small subunit ribosomal RNA", at positions 524 to 776 of the family's 1533-position model. The record is from RNAcentral.
UACGUAGGAGGCGAGCGUUGUCCGGAAUCACUGGGCGUAAAGCGCGUGUAGGCGGAUGACUAAGUUUGCUGUGAAAGCGCCUGGCUUAACCGGGCGAGGUCGGCGAAAACUAGUCGUCUGGAGGCCGGUAGAGGGGGGUGGAAUUCCGGGUGUAGUGGUGAAAUGCGUAGAGAUCCGGAGGAACACCCGUGGCGCAGGCGGCCCCCUGGGCCGCGCCUGACGCUGAGACGCGAAAGCGUGGGGAGCAAACAGG